AUGAUUCGUGGGACGUCCUGCCGGUGGUGGCGAGUCGAAGGCGUGCUCCCGUUGUGGUUUUCCACUUCGGUUCUUGCGCGCUCGAGGCGGACCCCGAUGAAAUCCUACCGCGGUGCUCUUCGCCGAGUGUCGAGGUGGGCCGGCACGUUUACUUUGAACAAAUUAGAGUGCUUAAAGUAGGCCUGUUGCGCCUGAAUACUGUGUGCAUGGAAUAAUGGAAUAGGACCUCGGUUCUAUUUUGUUGGUUUUCGGAACCCGAGGUAAUGAUUAAUAGGGACAGGCGGGGGCAUUCGUAUUGCGACGUUAGAGGUGAAAUUCUUGGAUCGUCGCAAGACGGACCGAAGCGAAAGCAUUUGCCAAGUAUGUUUUCAUUAAUCAAGAACGAAAGUUAGAGGUUCGAAGGCGAUCAGAUACCGCCCUAGUUCUAACCAUAAACGAUGCCAGCUAGCGAUCCGCCGAAGUUCCUCCGAUGACUCGGCGGGCAGCUCCCGGGAAACCAAAGCUUUUGGGUUCCGGGGAAGUAUGGUUGCAAG
Molecule: ribosomal RNA, 533 nt
Filed under: Isophya mavromoustakisi
Lineage: Eukaryota; Metazoa; Arthropoda; Insecta; Orthoptera; Tettigoniidae
Description: SSU rRNA
Rfam family: Eukaryotic small subunit ribosomal RNA
Source: RNAcentral